AUGCUCUGCUUACCCGUCAUCAGCAACAUUCAAGUCACCAAGACCCUCAUCGAUGGCGGCGCAGGGCUCAAUGUCCUUUCUGUCAAGACAUUCGACAGUCUCCAGGUGCCAUACGAUCAACUACAGCCUACCAAGCCUUUCUCACGAGUGACCGACGGCUCCACCACCCCGAUAGGGUGGGUCUGCCUGCCUGUCACCUUCGGCCAGUGUAACAACUACCUCCCCGAGCUCAUCGACUUUGACGUCGCCCACAUCCGCCUGUCGUACAACGCCAUCCUUGGGUAUCCAGCCUUGGCCAAGUUUAUGGUAGUGACCCACCACGGCUACAACGUCUUCAAGAUACCAAGGAGCGGCGGCAUCAUCACGGUCCUUGAUACGUCUCCAACGUAUCUAUAA
Molecule: ribosomal RNA, 396 nt
Filed under: Triticum aestivum (bread wheat)
Lineage: Eukaryota; Viridiplantae; Streptophyta; Magnoliopsida; Poales; Poaceae
Description: partial small subunit ribosomal RNA
Source: RNAcentral